UCAGAAGUGCGAAUGCUGACAUAAGUAACGAUAAAGCGGGUGAAAAGCCCGCUCGCCGGAAGACCAAGGGUUCCUGUCCAACGUUAAUCGGGGCAGGGUGAGUCGACCCCUAAGGCGAGGCCGAAAGGCGUAGUCGAUGGGAAACAGGUUAAUAUUCCUGUACUUGGUGUUACUGCGAAGGGGGGACGGAGAAGGCUAUGUUGGCCGGGCGACGGUUGUCCCGGUUUAAGCGUGUAGGCUGGUUUUCCAGGCAAAUCCGGAAAAUCAAGGCUGAGGCGUGAUGACGAGGCACUACGGUGCUGAAGCAACAAAUGCCCUGCUUCCAGGAAAAGCCUCUAAGCAUCAGGUAACAUCAAAUCGUACCCCAAACCGACACAGGUGGUCAGGUAGAGAAUACCAAGGCGCUUGAGAGAACUCGGGUGAAGGAACUAGGCAAAAUGGUGCCGUAACUUCGGGAGAAGGCACGCUGAUAUGUAGGUGAAGCGACUUGCUCGUGGAGCUGAAAUCAGUCGAAGAUACCAGCUGGCUGCAACUGUUUAUUAAAAACACAGCACUGUGCAAACACGAAAGUGGACGUAUACGGUGUGACGCCUGCCCGGUGCCGGAAGGUUAAUUGAUGGGGUUAGCGCAAGCGAAGCUCUUGAUCGAAGCCCCGGUAAACGGCGGCCGUAACUAUAACGGUCCUAAGGUAGCGAAAUUCCUUGUCGGGUAAGUUCCGACCUGCACGAAUGGCGUAAUGAUGGCCAGGCUGUCUCCACCCGAGACUCAGUGAAAUUGAACUCGCUGUGAAGAUGCAGUGUACCCGCGGCAAGACGGAAAGACCCCGUGAACCUUUACUAUAGCUUGACACUGAACAUUGAGCCUUGAUGUGUAGGAUAGGUGGGAGGCUUUGAAGUGUGGACGCCAGUCUGCAUGGAGCCGACCUUGAAAUACCACCCUUUAAUGUUUGAUGUUCUAACGUUGACCCGUAAUCCGGGUUGCGGACAGUGUCUGGUGGGUAGUUUGACUGGGGCGGUCUCCUCCUAAAGAGUAACGGAGGAGCACGAAGGUUGGCUAAUCCUGGUCGGACAUCAGGAGGUUAGUGCAAUGGCAUAAGCCAGCUUGACUGCGAGCGUGACGGCGCGAGCAGGUGCGAAAGCAGGUCAUAGUGAUCCGGUGGUUCUGAAUGGAAGGGCCAUCGCUCAACGGAUAAAAGGUACUCCGGGGAUAACAGGCUGAUACCGCCCAAGAGUUCAUAUCGACGGCGGUGUUUGGCACCUCGAUGUCGGCUCAUCACAUCCUGGGGCUGAAGUAGGUCCCAAGGGUAUGGCUGUUCGCCAUUUAAAGUGGUACGCGAGCUGGGUUUAGAACGUCGUGAGACAGUUCGGUCCCUAUCUGCCGUGGGCGCUGGAGAACUGAGGGGGGCUGCUCCUAGUACGAGAGGACCGGAGUGGACGCAUCACUGGUGUUCGGGUUGUCAUGCCAAUGGCACUGCCCGGUAGCUAAAUGCGGAAGAGAUAAGUGCUGAAAGCAUCUAAGCACGAAACUUGCC
Molecule: ribosomal RNA, 1531 nt
Filed under: Escherichia coli
Lineage: Bacteria; Pseudomonadati; Pseudomonadota; Gammaproteobacteria; Enterobacterales; Enterobacteriaceae
Description: partial 23S ribosomal RNA
Rfam family: Bacterial large subunit ribosomal RNA
Source: RNAcentral